RNAcentral lists this ribosomal RNA (424 nucleotides) under uncultured bacterium. RNAcentral's name for it is "bacterial SSU rRNA". It matches the Rfam family "Bacterial small subunit ribosomal RNA", at positions 358 to 774 of the family's 1533-position model. The record is from RNAcentral.
AGGAUCAUUCGCAAUGGGGGAAACCCUGACGAUGCGACGCUGCGUGGAGGAUGAAGGCCUUCGGGUUGUAAACUCCUGUCAUGAGGGAAAAGGCGAGAGUACCCAAUACGUACUUUAGUUGAUGGUACCUCAAGAGGAAGGGACGGCUAACUCUGUGCCAGCAGCCGCGGUAAUACAGAGGUCCCUAGCGUUGUUCGGAUUUACUGGGCGUAAAGGGCGCGUAGGCUGCAUGGCGUGUCAAGUGUGAAAUCUCCGGGCUCAACCCGGAAAGUGCGCUUGAAACUACCAUGCUGGAGGCCGGGAGAGGGAAUCGGAACAUAGGGUGUAGCGGUGAAAUGCGUUGAUAUCCUAUAGAACACCGGAGGCGAAGGCGGAUUCCUGGAACGGCACUGACGCUGAGGCGCGAAAGUCGGGGGAGCAAACA